UUCACCCAUCCCCUUCUCAGCACAGCUUUUUGCUAAUUGCUAUGGUGUAAGUCAUGUUGUUCUUCUAUUAUUAGUUUCCAUAAAUCUUCAAUUUUUCAUUCUGCUAUGUGUAUCUUGAUUCAAUUUCUACUAUCUAGGUCUUAUUUUAUCCAAUUUUUCCCUGUGAGGAAGAUCUCCCAAAAAUUGAUAGGAAGUGCCGUAUGACACUCCAAACAGCAGCGUGGUGUUCAUUACCAACCAGCAAUGUCACGAAAGCAACGCUUUUUUCUCAUCCACCGAUGGCAAAACCCUAAUUCUGCCAUUGGUCGAGAAAAAUUCACUGCUUUUGUGCCGCAGGUUGGUUUGUCCCACGCUGUGUGUGUGAUUUGAAACGGGUCUCUGAGGGUUUAAUACUUAAAAAAGUGUAAAUCAAUUUUAAUUUUCGUUUAAUUUAGGGUUUAGGUUCAAUGCCACGUCGCUGAUAGCUAUUUGCUUUGACCAGCGAUGCUAUGAUUGGACCAAGAACAAGAGUUUCACUUGUUUCGCAUCUUGAUAGGAACCUGCGGAUUUCAAUAUUCUAUGAUCUGUGGAGCCGUUUUCUGCGAUUACAUUCACUUUUUAUAUACAAUUUAUCAAUCUUUGAAGUAUUUUAUGGAUUUGAAUGGAAGCCAAUGAGGACUAACUUGAAUUGGAAUUACCGGCUGAAAAUUAUUAUCUUGAUGUCAAAUUCUGGCUUACUGAGGCUUCCAUUCAUUGCUGAUUUACAAAGUUAUAGUCAGAUUAAGUGGUGUUAUUAAACUAAAGAAUUUGAUUAAUGUGUAGAAUGGAAACCUGGCAAAGUAUAAACAUCAAUUGGGAGUUAUAGUAACAAUUUCCUGACAUGAAUUAAUAUCUGAAAUUAGUUUGAUUAGGUUAAGAAGUUAUUGGGAACAUUAUUGAUUAAAGAUUUAAAAUAUAUAUAAUUAUUGAUUAAAAGGGAUAAAGGCUCUAUAAUAGAGUCAACAGCAGGGGCUUAUUCCAUAGUUACUUGACUGCCGCUUAGAGCCAAAAUCAAAUUGCCAGAUGAAGAUCCUUGGAAUUAUAAUCCUUUGUUUCAAGACACAAAUUUCUGGAUAAAUUCAUUGGUUUUAUAUUUUAAUCAAUUUUUUUUAUUAAAAUUGAUAUAAUAAGAUGAAUUAAUGUUUUUAAUUUUCAUCAUGGGAUUUGUUGACAAACCCAAAAUUAAAAGCAACACUUCUUAUUUUGUCACAAAUAAACUUUGGCUGCCUUAGAAUUAAGUCUUACUGAUGCUCUUAUACAACUACAUUAAGAUCAAACAUUUAUCAUUGUUUGCCCAAUUAUUUAAAUUAAUUUUUAAUAAAUAACCUGACAAAUUUGAAAACUAUUGUCGCAUCCAAGCUUGUCUAAUAUGAUUUACAGGCUUAAGGUGGAAGAAGGUUGUGCUUUUGAAGAGAGACUGCUGAGCAAAGAAAAUGGAACAAUUUGAACUUGGAUUGUUAUGACAACAUGAAGAAAAUUGGAAUUGGUCACUUAGGACUUAGGAGAAAAGGAAAAGGAAAAUUAAUGUAAAGUAUUAAUGUUUUUGGUGUACCUCAAAUUGUUAUCUUGAUCUAUUUUCUAGUUGAAUACUCUAAUCAAGUGUCUAUUUAUAUUAAGUUUGUAAAAUAGAUACUUUUAUAAAUCAAAUACUACAACAAAUAUUGAGCCCUAUUACAACAUCA
Molecule: long non-coding RNA, 1700 nt
Filed under: Arachis ipaensis
Lineage: Eukaryota; Viridiplantae; Streptophyta; Magnoliopsida; Fabales; Fabaceae
Source: RNAcentral